This 266-nucleotide ribosomal RNA is filed under the name uncultured bacterium. RNAcentral describes it as "partial 16S ribosomal RNA". It matches the Rfam family "Bacterial small subunit ribosomal RNA", at positions 73 to 339 of the family's 1533-position model. The record is from RNAcentral.
CAGGAGCUUGCUCCUGUGGAUCAGUGGCGAACGGGUGAGUAACACGUGAGCAAUCUGCCCCGAACUCUGGGAUAAGCGUUGGAAACGACGUCUAAUACCGGAUACGACGCGCGAAGGCAUCCUCAGCGCGUGGAAAGAACUUCGGUUCGGGAUGAGCUCGCGGCCUAUCAGCUAGUUGGUGAGGUAACGGCUCACCAAGGCGACGACGGGUAGCCGGCCUGAGAGGGUGACCGGCCACACUGGGACUGAGACACGGCCCAGACUCC